CCUACGGGUGGCUGCAGUGAGGAAUAUUGGUCAAUGGGCGCGAGCCUGAACCAGCCAAGUAGCGUGAAGGAUGACUGCCCUACGGGUUGUAAACUUCUUUUAUAAAGGAAUAAAGUGAGGCACGUGUGCCUUUUUGUAUGUACUUUAUGAAUAAGGAUCGGCUAACUCCGUGCCAGCAGCCGCGGUAAUACGGAGGAUCCGAGCGUUAUCCGGAUUUAUUGGGUUUAAAGGGAGCGUAGGUGGGUUGUUAAGUCAGUGGUGAAAGUUUGGGGCUCAACCGUAAAAUUGCAAUUGAUACUGGUAGUCUUGAGUACAGUUGAGGUAGGCGGAAUGCGUGGUGUAGCGGUGAAAUGCAUAGAUAUCACGAAGAACUCCGAUUGCGAAGGCAGCUUACUAACCUGCCACUGACAUUGAUGCUCGAAAGUGUGGGUAUCAAACAGGAUUAGAUACCCUUGUAGUC
RNAcentral lists this ribosomal RNA (460 nucleotides) under uncultured bacterium. Its description in RNAcentral is "partial 16S ribosomal RNA". It matches the Rfam family "Bacterial small subunit ribosomal RNA", at positions 338 to 795 of the family's 1533-position model. The record is from RNAcentral.